GAUGAACGCUAGCUACAGGCUUAACACAUGCAAGUCGAGGGGCAUCACAGUGUAGCAAUACACGGGUGGCGACCGGCGCACGGGUGCGUAACACGUAUCCAAUCUGCCCGUUACUCGGGGAUAGCCUUCUGAAAGGAAGAUUAAUACCCGAUGGCAUGUAUUUCCGGCAUCGGAGAUACAUUAAAGAUUUAUCGGUAACGGAUGAGGAUGCGUACGAUUAGCUUGUUGGCGGGGUAACGGCCCACCAAGGCUACGAUCGUUAGGGGUUCUGAGAGGAAGGUCCCCCACACUGGAACUGAGACACGGUCCAGACUCCUACGGGAGGCAGCAGUGAGGAAUAUUGGUCAAUGGACGAGAGUCUGAACCAGCCAAGUAGCGUGCAGGAUGACGGCCCUCUGGGUUGUAAACUGCUUUUAGUUGGGAAUAAAAGAGGGACGUGUCCCUAAUUGUAUGUACCAUCAGAAAAAGGACCGGCUAAUUCCGUG
Molecule: ribosomal RNA, 485 nt
Filed under: uncultured bacterium
Lineage: Bacteria
Description: bacterial SSU rRNA
Rfam family: Bacterial small subunit ribosomal RNA
Source: RNAcentral